Molecule: transfer RNA, 362 nt
Filed under: uncultured Microcystis sp.
Lineage: Bacteria; Bacillati; Cyanobacteriota; Cyanophyceae; Chroococcales; Microcystaceae
Description: partial 16S-23S ribosomal RNA intergenic spacer
Rfam family: tRNA (bases 137-210)
Source: RNAcentral
AAAGGGAGACCUAAUUCAGGUAAAAGACGAAAAAAAAAGUAGUCGCUACCAAGAAUCAAUCCCAAAAGGUCGGAGCGAGGCGAAAUUGGCUUUCAAACUAGGUUCUGGGUUCAAACAAGACCUGAAUCAGGAACAAGGGCUAUUAGCUCAGGUGGUUAGAGCGCACCCCUGAUAAGGGUGAGGUCCCUGGUUCGAGUCCAGGAUGGCCCACCUGCACAGGUGGCAAAAACAAGAGAAGCGAGGAAUCAGCACCUUAUCUUACUUAUAUAGUAAGAGAGAAUGCUGGCUCUGAGUAAAGAGUCCAGAGGAACCUUGAAAACUGCAUAGAGCUAGGUGAAAAAGCCAAAAAAGAAGACCGCAAG